This 526-nucleotide ribosomal RNA is filed under the name uncultured bacterium. Its description in RNAcentral is "bacterial SSU rRNA". It matches the Rfam family "Bacterial small subunit ribosomal RNA", at positions 355 to 895 of the family's 1533-position model. The record is from RNAcentral.
UGGGGAAUCUUGGACAAUGGGGGCAACCCUGAUCCAGCCAUGCCGCGUGAGUGAUGAAGGCCUUAGGGUCGUAAAGCUCUUUCGCCUGUGAAGAUAAUGACGGUAGCAGGUAAAGAAACCCCGGCUAACUCCGUGCCAGCAGCCGCGGUAAUACGGAGGGGGUUAGCGUUGUUCGGAAUUACUGGGCGUAAAGCGCACGUAGGCGGACCAGAAAGUUGGGGGUGAAAUCCCGGGGGCUCAACCCCGGAACUGCCUCCAAAACUAUUGGUCUAGAGUUCGAGAGAGGUGAGUGGAAUUCCAAGUGUAGAGGUGAAAUUCGUAGAUAUUUGGAGGAACACCAGUGGCGAAGGCGGCUCACUGGCUCGAUACUGACGCUGAGGUGCGAAAGUGUGGGGAGCAAACAGGAUUAGAUACCCUGGUAGUCCCACACCGUAAAACGAUGAAUGCCCAGUCGUCGGGUAGCAUGCUAUUCGGUGACACACCUAACGGAUUAAGCAUUCCGCCUGGGGAGUACGGUCGCAAGAUU